UCAUGGGGAAUGCGAUCUCCCCAUGAGGCGUCAGCCAAAGCAUCGCGUCCUGUUUUUCGAUGAAGGACGCAUCAUG
Molecule: non-coding RNA, 76 nt
Filed under: uncultured Sphingomonas sp.
Lineage: Bacteria; Pseudomonadati; Pseudomonadota; Alphaproteobacteria; Sphingomonadales; Sphingomonadaceae
Description: chrB-a RNA
Rfam family: chrB-a RNA
Source: RNAcentral